UACGUAGGUCCCGAGCGUUGUCCGGAUUUAUUGGGCGUAAAGCGAGCGCAGGCGGUUAGAUAAGUCUGAAGUUAAAGGCUGUGGCUUAACCAUAGUACGCUUUGGAAACUGUUUAACUUGAGUGCAGAAGGGGAGAGUGGAAUUCCAUGUGGAGCGGUGAAAUGCGUAGAUAGAUGGAGGAACACCGGUGGCGAAAGCUGCUCUCUGGUCUGUAACUGACGCUGAGGCUCGAAAGCGUGGGGAGGAAACAGG
RNAcentral lists this ribosomal RNA (252 nucleotides) under uncultured bacterium. Its description in RNAcentral is "partial 16S ribosomal RNA". It matches the Rfam family "Bacterial small subunit ribosomal RNA", at positions 524 to 776 of the family's 1533-position model. The record is from RNAcentral.